This 1291-nucleotide long non-coding RNA is filed under the name Mytilus galloprovincialis (Mediterranean mussel). The record is from RNAcentral. Lineage: Eukaryota; Metazoa; Mollusca; Bivalvia; Mytilida; Mytilidae.
UCUAAGACCCCGUUCACACUAGGACAUUUUUAUCGAUUUAAACUAGACCGGUUCACUUUAGAUCGGUUUAAGGGCUAAUGUGAACCACGGGGGGUAACUUCCUGUUAUUGGGUAUACAGGGAUGUGCCAAAAAUAUGGGUCAUAAUUUUGCGAGAUUUUAUAUAAAAAUGGGCCUCCUUUUUAAUGACAUCCUAUAUUAAAAUGCAUUUACGUUUGAUAACUGUAUAUUGAUUUGGGGUAUGAUCUACAUAUCAUAUAUAAAUAUGCUACCGGUAUUGAGAAUCUUACAUUAUUAAUGGUCAAUUAAUAUUAAAUUGAAUCAAUUCAUUUGAAAGUUCACCUUUCAAAUAAGUUCCCAAAUGUGCACCAAACGAUGUCAAUUCAUAUAAAAACUUAAGGGUAGCUGGUAUAUUUAUGAAUUAUCAGGGAGUGAUGAUGAGUUAGUGCUUAUAUAUAUAUAUAUAUAUAUAAGCAUGGGUCAUAUUUUAAAUAUUGUAUAUAAAUAUAGGUCAUUCUUUCUUAAAUAUUUAUAUAACUAUAGGUACUGAAUUUCAGUGAAUGUUAUAUUAAAAUGGGUACGUUUUUUGAGGCAAAAAUGGCACACCCCUACCAAAAAAAUAUCGAAGUUACCCCCCCGUGAUGUGAACGCAUUGAAUCGAUCUUCAAUCGGUCUAAACUAAAACACCAAAAGAGGUAGUUUAGUUUGAAUCGAUCUAAAGUAAACCGAUCUUACUUUAGAUGUGAACGCAGAGAUCGGUUUAAACUAGAACGAUUGAAUCGAAAAUAACGUAUGCGCAUGUAUAGCGGCAAAACUAUCUCAGAGGUUCGUUGUUUAACCCAUAUUUCUCUGUUAAAAGACCUUUAAAACAAACUGUAAACAUGUUGUCUUCGCCAUAGCAUAGAUUUGCGAAGUCUGUGUCUUCUUUUCUUAUGUUGAUUUUUUUUCUUUGCAGGAACCGCAGUAUUUCCGGCGUCGUGUUGUUACUUCGUUGCUACAGUUAUUUUUUUUCAAAAUUAAAGAAAACUGCAAUAACACCAGUAUCAAAAUUUUAAAUUGUGAUUCAAGAGAAACAAUAACUUUAUCCAAUUUUUUUUCCCAAGUGUGUGUAUCAGUGUAUCAGCACAUGAAUUUGAUAAAUCAGUUCUAUUUAUACACAGUGUUUACAGUUUUACGGGCAAAAAGGUUAGAUCGAUUACGUUUUUAAUUGUAGUGUGAACGCAGUGGUUCAUAUUAGACCGAUAGAGAUCGAUAUGAUUAAAGAUAAUGUGAACGCUAACUGGUUUUAUUUAG